UCGGAAGGUGCGGCUGGAUCACCUCCUUUCUAGGGAGACAUACACUAGGCCAAGCGUCUGGAUGUCACUUAGGUCGACACUUUGGCAGAUAAACGUAGCAUAAGCGCUAGCUGUAUCGCACUUUAUAUUGUUCGGUUUUGAGAAAUCUGAAAGAUUCUCAAUGUAAAAUGGGCCUAUAGCUCAGCUGGUUAGAGCGCACGCCUGAUAAGCGUGAGGUCGGUGGUUCAAGUCCACCUAGGCCCACCAUUUUGCAAUUCAUGGGGGCGUAGCUCAGCUGGGAGAGCACCUGCCUUGCAAGCAGGGGGUCAGGAGUUCGAUUCUCCUCGUCUCCACCAUUUAGCAUACUUCAAUGGAGUAUGCUACUAUACAAUGACAUAGGUCAGCGUAUUGUUCUUUGAAAACUGCAUAGAAGAAAGAUUAUAUAUGUAAGGUCUGCUUCUCAAUCGAGAAGAGGGACCGAGCACAUAGGAUAAUUCUCUAAAUAACGGUGAAGUUACAUAAGUAACAACUACAAAACGACAAUGCAUAUGCAUUUGUUCCAGUAUCAAGUAAGUAAAGAUACUAAGGGCAUAUGGCGGAUGCCUUGGCGAUACUAGCCGAAGAAGGACGCGGUAAGCUGCGAAAAGCUACGGAGAGGUGCAAGCGACCUGAGACCCGUAG
This 660-nucleotide unclassified non-coding RNA is filed under the name Veillonella montpellierensis. RNAcentral's name for it is "partial contains 16S ribosomal RNA, 16S-23S ribosomal RNA intergenic spacer, and 23S ribosomal RNA". The stretch from base 552 to 660 matches the Rfam family "Bacterial large subunit ribosomal RNA", at positions 1 to 109 of the family's 2925-position model. The record is from RNAcentral. Lineage: Bacteria; Bacillati; Bacillota; Negativicutes; Veillonellales; Veillonellaceae.